RNAcentral lists this long non-coding RNA (609 nucleotides) under Helianthus annuus (common sunflower). The record is from RNAcentral. Lineage: Eukaryota; Viridiplantae; Streptophyta; Magnoliopsida; Asterales; Asteraceae.
AAUCCAUUAAUGCUUCUUUAAUGGUUGCCUUUUUUUUACGGAAACAGAGAGCAAGCUACUAAUAAAUCGGUGAUGAAUCUCUGCUAAUCGAUUGUAAAAUGGAGGUUUCGAGUAUUGUUCUUGGCUUUGAUUAUUCUAAAGGAAAUAAGGAAUUGUACCCAAAAAAUGCAGAAAGUGUUACUAUUAGGCAAUAUUGGAAAAUGACGCAACAAGAUAUACGAUGUUGAUCACUCACUAUGGAUGAUGGUAAUGAAUCAAAUCUUUAUUACAUAGGCAUGAUGGCUAGAUGAGAACCCAACACAACUACAACAACAGAAAAGAGACAGAAUGACUAGAGCUAGAAAAAGAAAGAACAUUGAAACUCAAAGAGGGAGCAAAUCUAUGAAAAUAGGGUUGCAAGCGCCUAAAUGAAAGAAGCAGACUCGAAAUGGAAGGGCAAUUUCAAUUCUUGUUGAACUACAUGCUAAUAAAAUUCUUAGCUAGUUACGAAUGUUAUCUUGGAUACUAAUGUUAAGUUGUUAAAUCUCUACAUGCUAUAUUAAAGGAUUCGCGUGUGCUGGAUUUCUAAGGAGCAGCGAUUAGCAUUCAUUAGUGAAUAAUGGCGAUUUG